GAUCCUGGCUCAGGAUAAACGCUGGCGGCGCACAUAAGACAUGCAAGUCGAACGGAAGUCGUUAUAAAAAGGAUUGAAGAUUUAUCUGAUUGAGAUUUUAUAACAAUGGCUUUAGUGGCGGACUGGUGAGUAACGCGUGAGCAACCUGCCUACUAGAGGGGGAUAACAGUGAGAAAUCAUUGCUAAUACCGCAUAUGCCAUGAACAUCACAUGAUGAAAAUGGGAAAAGAG
RNAcentral lists this ribosomal RNA (231 nucleotides) under uncultured bacterium. RNAcentral describes it as "partial 16S ribosomal RNA". It matches the Rfam family "Bacterial small subunit ribosomal RNA", at positions 15 to 209 of the family's 1533-position model. The record is from RNAcentral.